ACUCGUCAACCAGUAAUAUUAUG
This 23-nucleotide microRNA is filed under the name Ascaris suum (pig roundworm). Its description in RNAcentral is "asu-miR-5342-5p". The record is from miRBase by way of RNAcentral. Lineage: Eukaryota; Metazoa; Nematoda; Chromadorea; Rhabditida; Ascarididae.